AUGGCCGGAGGGUCUGUCGCUCGUGUUACAUAUAAAUCACGAGAGGAAAGUCCGGGCAACAUAGAGCACCAUACUGUCUAACGGACAGCCGUCAGUAAUGGCAGAGCAGUGUGACAGAAAAUUACCGCCUCUCCGGAGGUAAGGGUGAAAAGGUGAGGUAAGAGCUCACCGGGCGCGUCAGCGAUGGCGCGUGCCGCACAUCUUAUGGGUUGCAAGGUCAAGUAUACCGGCAUUUAAGGGUUGCUCGCCCAUUGCCGAGGGGUAGACUGCUAACGGCGUAAGCCAGAUAAAUGACAGACGGGCGGCGGAGGUUCCUUCGGGAAAACACCGCUCCCACAUAACCCGGCUUAUACUCCGACCAUGCUU
Molecule: RNase P RNA, 366 nt
Filed under: Muribaculaceae bacterium
Lineage: Bacteria; Pseudomonadati; Bacteroidota; Bacteroidia; Bacteroidales; Muribaculaceae
Description: RNase P RNA component class A
Rfam family: Bacterial RNase P class A
About the family: Ribonuclease P (RNase P) is a ubiquitous endoribonuclease, found in archaea, bacteria and eukarya as well as chloroplasts and mitochondria. Its best characterised activity is the generation of mature 5'-ends of tRNAs by cleaving the 5'-leader elements of precursor-tRNAs.
Source: RNAcentral